This 401-nucleotide ribosomal RNA is filed under the name uncultured bacterium. Its description in RNAcentral is "partial 16S ribosomal RNA". It matches the Rfam family "Bacterial small subunit ribosomal RNA", at positions 360 to 776 of the family's 1533-position model. The record is from RNAcentral.
AAUAUUGCACAAUGGGCGCAAGCCUGAUGCAGCGACGCCGCGUGAGCGAAGAAGGUUUUCGGAUCGUAAAGCUCUGUCCUCUGGGAAGAAAAAAAUGACGGUACCAGAGGAGGAAGCCCCGGCUAACUACGUGCCAGCAGCCGCGGUAAUACGUAGGGGGCAAGCGUUAUCCGGAAUCAUUGGGCGUAAAGGGUGCGUAGGCGGCCCUAUAGGUCAGAGGUCAAAGGCUACGGCUCAACCGUAGUAAGCCUUUGAAACUGUAGGGCUUGAGUGCAGGAGAGGAGAGUGGAAUUCCUAGUGUAGCGGUGAAAUGCGUAGAUAUUAGGAGGAACACCAGUGGCGAAGGCGACUCUCUGGACCGCAACUGACGCUGAGGCACGAAAGCGUGGGGAGCGAACAGG